AACCGCUUUCAUCUUUCUUGGGUCAAACAUUCAGAACAACUUCAUUAUGGUCUGUGUUUCUGCAAGGUCUGUGUUUUUGCUUUUAUUUCUGAAUUCUGCAGUAUUGAGUAGCUCAAACUCUCUUUUGGUCAUCUAUUUUACUUAACUUACCUGUGCAGCUUAGGUAAAUUCCCAAGUUGCUGUCAAUUACUGCUGAAUCAUAUGUUUAAAUGCAUAAUUAGAGGAGAAUUACCCGUUAGCAGCACUUUAUUAUUCACAUUUAUAUUAUACCUGAUUUUACAUCAUAUAUAUCAGGCAUAAUGAGAUUCUUUCAACAUAUUUCUGACAGGGUGGAGUCUUUGUUACUAAAAACAGACUGAAGUACUGCUGAUGGACUGCUCAAUGUUAUGUGAAUGGAAAGAAUUGCUGUUGUACUAUUUGUUUAUAUUCAUUACAGUUUUUGUGUACUCACCUAGAAAACCUGUGUGUAAAUAUGAUAAUAUUCAUUGGUAGAUGAGAACACUGAUCCAACUCAAACACAGUAGUCAAAAUCCUGAAAAUCAUUCCAUAAAUCGUUGUCAGUUGUUGUAUAUAGUAGCUCUUUAAAGCACACAUUUGCCUUUUCAUUCACAUAGAAAGCAUUCACUUUAUUCACUGUGUGCCUUUGUGUUGCUUUCACACAUCUUCAGCAAUAAAAUCAUGUAAAGGCACCAGCAGAUGCACUUCCCCACGCAAACAGAUGCCUAUUGCAAGUAUAAAAACUGUAUUUUAUGUACAUAGUCACAUAUCUGCUUGGGCAUUGAAUUUUUUUUAUGUGGCCUUUCAAAAAUCUUGUGGCUCAGGUUGGUGGACUGAAAACAUGGGAUGUUGUAAAUAUCACUCAGUUAACCUUCACCCACUCCUACUGUCUGAAAUCUUUACCUUUUAGAAGACCUUUUGAUAGUUAAAUUAUUAGUACUGUAGUGAUGAACAUUGUUUUGCACCUAGAUAUCUUUUACUGUAUCUGUAUUAUUUUGAUUUGAUGGCUGAAUAUACUGUUGUGGCCUCAUGAAACUAUCAUACUUUUCCAGAAUUUACAUGUUAGGAUUAUUUUCAUUAGUGGUUGCAUUUUAGAGCACAGAGCAUAAUGUAAUUUUUGUAAUAGUGAUGGUGUUGGAAUGCUACUUUUGCUGGAGAAAUAUAAAUUGUGGUGGUU
This is a long non-coding RNA of Astatotilapia calliptera (eastern happy), 1174 nucleotides long. Lineage: Eukaryota; Metazoa; Chordata; Actinopteri; Cichliformes; Cichlidae. The record is from Ensembl.